Zophobas morio is the source of this 1881-nucleotide RNA transcript. RefSeq lists it as uncharacterized. The transcript is spliced from 11 exons. NCBI's taxonomy places the organism in Eukaryota, Metazoa, Arthropoda, Insecta, Coleoptera, Tenebrionidae. The record is from RefSeq and is a predicted model, not a curated record.
UUAACUCGUAUGGUACGCACAGCAUUUUUACUUGGUUUAAAGUCUUUUUUGGUUGAAAUCACUAAAUUUUUUCACACUUAUACCGGCCUCAACGUUUUAAACCCAAAGAAAAGAGAAAAAAUAACAGAGGGAAUUCUGUUUACCACUGCAACUUCUUUUUUUAUAUUUCAAUCUUUUAAACUUUGCUUUACUUUUCCCCAAGAAAGUUGUUUCAUCCCACUUCGGAAGAUUUAAAAAAGAAAUUUGAAAAUGUGAAAGAAGAAUUUAAUAACGUUGCUGAAGAAAUGGGAGUCAAAACGCCCUGCAUCUCCUUUCACGUUGGCAAUACCUUUAAUUCAUACUCUCAAGGCUCAAUUAUAUUUUGUACUGCAAGUCUUAUAGUCUCUCGCCUACUUUUGAACGACGAGUUGGAGAGCAUUACUAUGGAUAAUUAUAUGGGGAAUAAUAGGGAAGCUUGGACCGUUUUAAAAGAAUCCCUUAAAACUACCCGAAGACAAAACCGCUUUGUCCUUUCGCAUGAACUGACCCACAUUGCGCAGGAACACAGCCUCUUUUGGACUUUAUAUCAACCUAUCAGCUUGUUGGCAGUCCACCAAUUAUUAAAACGGAAGACUCUUUUUUUUGGGAGCCGCCCAUUUCUUUCUCUUCUGUCCGCCUUGCUUAUGAGCACAUGCAGCUCGCCUUUCCUUUUUAAAUAUUUAGAAAGUAGGGCGGAUACUGCUGCAUUGUUUUCCAAAGAGAUGUGUCUUGGGGGAUUGACUCAUAUUGAUCGACUACUCGAGCGCAACAGAGCUAUUAGAGCUCUUGUUAAAGCUAAUUCUGCUGUGGACUCUGUUCUCGUUAUUAAGGCAAUAUGACCACUAUAUAUGAAAAAAUUUACAUCGGGAGAUGAUUGAGAAAAACUUUCCCCUGAACCUUAAAUUUCCUAAAAAGAGCAUUUACGUGGAUAAUUAUCAUCUUCAAGAUUAACAUAUGAAAACAUUCUGAAGCAGUUCGAAAAAAGUGAAUCAUUAGUUCUCUUGUUUGACGGACGUCCGUCAGUUAAGGGCGAAUCUCACUCCCUUUUGCAGUCUAUUGGUCUGCCGGCUGUUGUAUGAUCAGAGCCGCAGUGCAUAGAUAGCAUUUAACAUUUUAAAACUUGACCUUUUAGCCUAAAGUACUAAUAUUACUUACAGGCAACUGGUUACUGGCAGCACACAUUGGUUAAAACUUUCUUGCUCUUUAUAUAUAUCUCCAUUAAUAAGGUCAUAAACCGUUCAGAAAGCGAUGAGGUUUCUAAGUUAUUAUUUUUUUAACACAAAUACUUGUUUCGGUGAACUAUUUUUAACAUUAAAGUCUGGGAUCCGCCCCUCUGGUGAGCACCUCUUCAGUUAUUCUCAUCCCUCAUAUCGAAAAAGAAAAGAAAAGAUGCUGAAGUUACUAGAUAAAUAUUGCGGAGAUGGAUAAGCGUAGAAUUCUGUGCUAAAAAUUUAUGACAGUAGUCCAUAAAACACAGGACUUUUCGCAUUAAAAAAAAUUAUAGUGAGUAUAUGUGGAGGCGUUCUUUCUUACAAUUAUAAUAAUAAUUUUUGUAAUCCACUUUUUAUUUAAGCACAGUUUAAGCCGACUUCAUCUUUCCUGUGAGGGGAAAAGGGGUUUCGGAAAUAUAACGUUCUCUCUUGCUCUCCUUCUCCCACUAACUUUUUUUAUCCCGAGCUUGUGUGGUGACGGAGGAAGCUUUUGCUCUAACUCACAGUUAAAAUAAAUUUUGGUACGGACGCUAUUCAAGGUAAUGACUGUAGAGUUUAGUACUGCCUGAGUAGAUAUAGUAAUUUUUAAAACCUGUAGAUUCUAUUAAACUUAACCAUAAUAUGUACUCCCGAAUAAAUUGUAUCUGAUAAA